This 253-nucleotide ribosomal RNA is filed under the name uncultured bacterium. RNAcentral describes it as "partial 16S ribosomal RNA". It matches the Rfam family "Bacterial small subunit ribosomal RNA", at positions 524 to 776 of the family's 1533-position model. The record is from RNAcentral.
UACGUAGGGUGCAAGCGUUAAUCGGAAUUACUGGGCGUAAAGCGUGCGCAGGCGGCUUUGCAAGUCAGCUGUGAAAUCCCCGGGCUUAACCUGGGAACUGCAUUUGUGACUGCAUGGCUAGAGUGCGGCAGAGGGGGAUGGAAUUCCGCGUGUAGCAGUGAAAUGCGUAGAUAUGCGGAGGAACACCGAUGGCGAAGGCAAUCCCCUGGGCCUGCACUGACGCUCAUGCACGAAAGCGUGGGGAGCAAACAGG